GUUCCCUUGACCACUUCAUCAUGAGGGGUUGAUAUCUUCUUUUUUGAUGUCUUGCUGAAGUGUUUGGGGGAACUC
Solanum tuberosum (potato) is the source of this 75-nucleotide non-coding RNA. The record is from RefSeq and is marked provisional. NCBI's taxonomy places the organism in Eukaryota, Viridiplantae, Streptophyta, Magnoliopsida, Solanales, Solanaceae.